GUAAAUUUUUUGGCGCCAUUUUAGGAAGUUAUUUUUACUGAUAAAUUAUGCAGUUUUUUCCACUUCCACAUCUUACACCACAAAGUUAUUUUUACUGAUAAAUUAUGCAGUUUUUUCCACUUCCACAUCUUACACCACAAAAAUUACAAAUAUGCCGAAAAAUAAUCGACCAAUUUCUAUACCAAUAGAUGCCCAACAAAUUUUCCUAUCUCAAUUUUUCAGAAACCAACAUCAUCAUAACUCUAAACAACUAGAACUUCAGUUUUCAAAUCGGAUUAUAUCAAGAAACCUUCUUUU
This 297-nucleotide long non-coding RNA is filed under the name Salvia miltiorrhiza (redroot sage). RNAcentral describes it as "long non-coding RNA (SMIL_LNC009275)". The record is from RNAcentral. Lineage: Eukaryota; Viridiplantae; Streptophyta; Magnoliopsida; Lamiales; Lamiaceae.